GAUGAACGCUAGCGGCAGGCUUAACACAUGCAAGUCGAGGGGUAUUGGUUUUCGGACCAAGAGACCGGCGCACGGGUGCGUAACGCGUAUGCAAUCUACCUUUUGCAGAGGGAUAGCCCCAGAGAAAUUUGGAUUAAUACCUCAUAGUAUAGUACUUUGGCAUCAAGGAACUAUUAAAGUCACAACGGCAAAAGAUGAGCAUGCGUCCCAUUAGCUAGAUGGUAAGGUAACGGCUUACCAUGGCAAUGAUGGUAGGGUCCUGAGAGGGAGAUCCCCCACACUGGUACUGAGACACGGACCAGACUCCUACGGGAGGCAGCAGUGGGAAUUUUGGACAAUGGCGCAAGCCUGAUCCAGCAAUGCCGCGUGCAGGAUGAAAGGCCUUCGGUGUAAC
This 394-nucleotide ribosomal RNA is filed under the name uncultured bacterium. RNAcentral's name for it is "bacterial SSU rRNA". It matches the Rfam family "Bacterial small subunit ribosomal RNA", at positions 28 to 429 of the family's 1533-position model. The record is from RNAcentral.